This 2835-nucleotide long non-coding RNA is filed under the name Taeniopygia guttata (zebra finch). RNAcentral's name for it is "lncRNA (ENSTGUG00000027292.1)". The record is from RNAcentral. Lineage: Eukaryota; Metazoa; Chordata; Aves; Passeriformes; Estrildidae.
GAUGAAAUAGUUCCAAAGGAGUAUAUUCAAUUACCAUCUACAGUCAACUCAACUAUGACAACAAAGUCUUUUGUGACAAGUUUUUUAAAGUUUUGAAAGUUCCAUCUGGUUUGUUUCUGUCAGUCUCAUGUAUUUUGGUACAGUUCGAGAUCAGCAUUGUUACAGUAACAAAAAAGCUAACAAGACUACAGUAUAGAAAAACACCAAGAACAUCAUUUUUGGUUUCACUUGCUCUAGUUUUUGUACAUUGCAAAGGCUGUUCAUAACCCUCUUCACCUCAUUUAUGCUUUCUGUUCUACCGAAACUCGCCCCCCCAAAAUAAAACCAAAAAAAUAGUCAAAGUUUUGUUUCACAGUGGGCAGUAUCAGUGCCAACCAACCGACCAACCAACAAUCAAGCGACCGACCAACUGACCAACCGCCCGACCAACCAACCCAACUUCUGCUUCUAUUUAAAAGCUUUUAUUUUUUUUUUUUUUAAAGCAAAAUAUAUUUUGGUGAGCGUGCUGGCUGUGUCCACCCACCUUGUCCCCCACCAGCCCCAGGUGGCCCCGCACACCCCUGAUGCUUCUCUUUAUUCUCAAUUGUAUGAAACUUUGGCCAUCUUCACCACUUAAAAAAGCUUUUUAUUAAAAAUAAAACAGAAACCCACUUAAUGCUAAGUAUGAAGUGUUUUCCUCGUGCCCAGCCUGGCCCUGCUCUGCCACUUGCUGGAAAGGCCACGCGUGGGCUGGGGGUGGCGCGAGGCUGGCGCUGGGGUCCCCGCACCGGCCCCGCGCAGCCCAACUGCAAGAGGAGGAGGAGGAGGCAACCUCGCACUGAAAGAGUCUCUAGAAACAUUUAGAAAAAAUACAAGGAAAUGAAUUUAUAAAACCUUUUAGUGGAUGGGAAGGAGGAGGGGGAAGGAGGAGAGAGAAAUUGCACUAUGACCAAGCAAUAUAAUUAAAAAAACAAAACAAAACAAGACAUAAAAAGGAUUUCCAAAAGAGACCUUGCAGAAUUGGACAGAUAAAGCCUGUGUUAAACUGGAAACUGGCAUCACAGAGAGAAUCCAAAACAAAACAAACCAAAAAAAUUUCUAUAUGAUACAGACAGAGUAACAUACAACAGUUAAAUGGCAAAAAAUAUAUAUAUAUAUAUAUUUCAUAGAAUUACAAACAAGAUAAAAUAAUGAAAAAAAAACUGUACAACUUUAGAAUUUAAAAAAUGUUCAUCUCAAACACAGGGAGAAAUACAAGAACUUCUGUUAAAGAAAACAGUUUGUUAAAACAGCAAACGCUCCAUGGGUACGUGGUUCUGUUUUUGACACCUUAUGCUACAGCUGGGUCCCGGGAGGAACAUCCGGUGGUUCGCGCUUUAGUAUCAACUACUUAAAAAACAAUUAAAAAAGGAAUUUGCACUGUGCAUUAGCCUAGUCAGAAAUAUGUACAACAGUUCAGGAUCUAGUCUUUCAUCAAACUAAAACCAAAACUCCAUAAAAAUAUAAGUGUCCCGCUAGAAACCGAGCCCGCACUCCGACGCUCCAGUCUCUCACGGAGGUGGCGAGUGGCUUCGGCCCGGGGAGGAGCAGCCGGAGGCAGCGGGAGGAACCUGCGUUCACAGUCUUCGAAGUUCCCUUUUGAAGCAGGAGGAGGAUGAUGAUGGUGGGCAGAAGGCUCUCGUGCUUUCGGGCAGAGGAAACACGGUGGAAAGAGGUUGUUUCUGUUGGCAUUUGGUUAUGGAAGGGAACAGCAAAGUAUCUACGUCUCCAAAAUCUACAUUUUAGCAGCAUAAAGUUUUCCUUUCAAAGUCUGGGCCAGUUGAGGUGCAUGCGGGCUGGGGGGGCCGGGGGGCUCCGGGCCUCCCUGAGCCUGGCACCCGGUGCUGCCACGGGGAGAUCUUGGAAAGAGAAACCUGCCUGGGGUGCACUGGGUGCUCACUAAGAGUUGUCUCUCUGCUUGCAGAAGAAGCACAGAUAACAACCUGGGUACGUUUUUUUAUUCUUUAUUUAAACUUAGACUUGUUUGUUUAAAUCAGAAACAAAUUCUCAAGUAAAAAGAAUCCUUUUUGCUCAUUCUGCACCAGUGGUGAAGGGUAUGUCUUUGGAUUUUAUUUAAAGCAUGAAUUUUCUUUAGAGAAAAAAAUGUAACAAAACCUUUUUUUUUUUUUUUUCAAAAGAAGGAACAGAGUGCAGCCUAAUUACACAAACAGAACUGAUGCUCAGAGGUCAGGAACAGAGUCUUUGAAGCAUUUACAAAAUGAGUAAAGGAACAGGGGAAGAAAAAGGGAAGAAAAAAAGAGAAAUGGAAAAUGAGAAUAAAAUAAGUGCACAAGGGUAACAGACAUAGGUAAAUCGCAUGUAUAUGCCUUAAAAAGUUUCAAACCCCCAACAAAAAAUAUUCUGCAAGGGAUCCUACUGACCCCCAAAACCCUUUGAACUUCUUUCUUUAGUUUUUAUAAAAUAAUUAUGCAACCACCCUCUAAGAAAUGAAGGUAGCGACCAUAAGUGGAAGAUUACAGGAUGGGGACGGGGAUAAAGGUACAAAGGGGAGAAAAGCUCAGGCGAGUCGAUGGAUCGCAAUCUAUCUGUCUAGGAAUGAACAAGACAACAUCAAAUGAGAAGCCGUCAGCUGGACCAUACAAAAGCUAAAUGUACACAAAAGGGUUUUUUCUUUUAAAUCUACCAUACUGCUUCAGUUCAUUUCCAAUGCAACAAUCUACUCAACACCAAAAAUGGUCAUAUCUAUCAUAAAUACAGAAAGUCAGUUGUUUUAAAACUUAUUUUUUUAAGCUCCAAGUCCUCAACACUCUUUGUUGUGGUUUUUUUUUUUUUUUUUCUGAAAAGUGGGAGUGCUUA